GGCUGUCGUCAGCUCGUGUUGUGAAAUGUUGGGUUAAGUCCCGCAACGAGCGCAACCCUUAUCCUUUGUUGCCAGCGGUCCGGCCGGGAACUCAAAGGAGACUGCCAGUGAUAAACUGGAGGAAGGUGGGGAUGACGUCAAGUCAUCAUGGCCAUUACGACCAGGGCUACACACGUGCUACAAUGGCGCAUACAAAGAGAAGCGACCUCGCGAGAGCAAGCGGACCUCAUAAAGUGCGUCGUAGUCCGGAUUGGAGUCUGCAACUCGACUCCAUGAAGUCGGAAUCGCUAGUAAUCGUGGAUCAGAAUGCCACGGUGAAUACGUUCCCGGGCCUUGUACACACCGCCCGUCACACCAUGGGAGUGGGUUGCAAAAGAAGUAGGUAGCUUAACCUUCGGGAGGGCGCUUACCACUUUGUGAUUCAUGACUGGGGUGAAGUCGUAACAAGGUAACCGUAGGGGAACCUGCGGCUGGAUCACCUC
Molecule: ribosomal RNA, 482 nt
Filed under: uncultured bacterium
Lineage: Bacteria
Description: bacterial SSU rRNA
Rfam family: Bacterial small subunit ribosomal RNA
Source: RNAcentral